This 322-nucleotide unclassified non-coding RNA is filed under the name Hevea brasiliensis (rubber tree). Lineage: Eukaryota; Viridiplantae; Streptophyta; Magnoliopsida; Malpighiales; Euphorbiaceae. The record is from RNAcentral.
GCCACGGAGAGAAAGAGGACGAUUCCGACGGGUACCCAUAUAGGGCUGGAAACGAUGAUCAAAGGAGCAAAAAAUAUUAGGACAAGAACUGUGACUGUGACGGUGAUGCCUGUGAGGANNNGAACCGGAGAUGAGGAGGGUCAAGAAACCGAAGAGUUGGGUUGAGUUGGGAGCAUGAGCUUGCAGUUUACGUAGAAAGGUGGAGGUGUUGGUUNNNNNNNNNNNNCUGAAGGUCUUGAAGUUCUAUGGGGAGCAGUGCGGUCAGCCAUGAUAUGAACCUUGACGAGAGAUAGAGAGAGAGAGAGAGAGGGAAGUGCUAAAA